Long non-coding RNA from Argiope bruennichi, 265 nucleotides. RefSeq lists it as uncharacterized. Lineage: Eukaryota; Metazoa; Arthropoda; Arachnida; Araneae; Araneidae. The transcript is spliced from 3 exons. The record is from RefSeq and is a predicted model, not a curated record.
GGGAAAGCAAACUGUCAGCGAUUCUGUGUCUUAUAUAAUGGAUUAUAUAUUUCAACUUAAUAAUUUCGUUUAUAGGCUGACGUUGCUGUUAUUUUAACAAGAUUCAUUCGAUUGAACGGAGGACAAUAAAAGGAAGAAUUUCUUGAACGUUGGUUCUACAUUUCCAUAAAAGGACAACGGGUAAAUGCGAGGAAGUACCAAUUUAUUUUGGAGGAUGAAACACAAACAAUUUGGAUAUUUGGAUGAAUUAUUCGGCUUGAGACAG